GACGAACGCUGGCGGCGUGCUUAACACAUGCAAGUCGAACGGAAAGACCAUGCUUUUGCGGGGUGCUCGAGUGGCGAACGCGUGAGUAACACGUGAGUAACCUGCCCUUGUCUUUGUGGUAACUUCAGGAAACUGGGGCUAAUACCGGAUAGGAGCUCCUGCUGCAUGGUGGGGGUUGGAGAGUUUCGGCGGUUGUGGAUGGACUGGCGGCUUAUCAGCUUGUUGGUGGGGUAGGGGCUUACCAAGGCUUUGAAGGGUAGCCCGCCUGAGAGGGUGACCGGCGACAUUGGGACUAAGAGAGGGCCCAGACGCGUACGGGAGGCAGCAGGGGGGAAUAUGGCAGAAUGGGCGGAAGCCUGAGGCAGCAACGCCGCGUGCGGGAUGACGGCCUUCGGGGUGUAAACAGCUGUCGCCGGUGAUGAAGCGGGAGUGACGGUAACGGGUAAAGAAGCACCGGCUAACUACGUG
This 468-nucleotide ribosomal RNA is filed under the name uncultured bacterium. Its description in RNAcentral is "partial 16S ribosomal RNA". It matches the Rfam family "Bacterial small subunit ribosomal RNA", at positions 28 to 507 of the family's 1533-position model. The record is from RNAcentral.